Molecule: ribosomal RNA, 613 nt
Filed under: Salmonella enterica
Lineage: Bacteria; Pseudomonadati; Pseudomonadota; Gammaproteobacteria; Enterobacterales; Enterobacteriaceae
Description: partial 23S ribosomal RNA
Rfam family: Bacterial large subunit ribosomal RNA
Source: RNAcentral
AAUCCAUAGGUUAAUGAGGCGAACCGGGGGAACUGAAACAUCUAAGUACCCCGAGGAAAAGAAAUCAACCGAGAUUCCCCCAGUAGCGGCGAGCGAACGGGGAGGAGCCCAGAGCCUGAAUCAGCAUGUGUGUUAGUGGAAGCGUCUGGAAAGGCGCGCGAUACAGGGUGACAGCCCCGUACACAAAAGCGCAUGUGCUGUGAGCUCGAUGAGUAGGGCGGGACACGUGGUAUCCUGUCUGAAUAUGGGGGGACCAUCCUCCAAGGCUAAAUACUCCUGACUGACCGAUAGUGAACCAGUACCGUGAGGGAAAGGCGAAAAGAACCCCGGCGAGGGGAGUGAAAAAGAACCUGAAACCGUGUACGUACAAGCAGUGGGAGCACAGGUUUACCUGUGUGACUGCGUACCUUUUGUAUAAUGGGUCAGCGACUUAUAUUCUGUAGCAAGGUUAACCGAAUAGGGGAGCCGGAGGGAAACCGAGUCUUAAUUGGGCGUUAAGUUGCAGGGUAUAGACCCGAAACCCGGUGAUCUAGCCAUGGGCAGGUUGAAGGUUGGGUAACACUAACUGGAGGACCGAACCGACUAAUGUUGAAAAAUUAGCGGAUGACCUGUG